CGAACGGGUGAGUAAUACAUCGGAACGUGUCCGCUCGUGGGGGACAACCAGCCGAAAGGUUGGCUAAUACCGCAUGAGUUCUACGGGAGAAAGAGGGGGACCCGCAAGGGCCUCUCGCGAGCGGAGCGGCCGAUGACUGAUUAGCCGGUUGGUGAGGUAACGGCUCACCAAAGCAACGAUCAGUAGCUGGUCUGAGAGGACGACCAGCCACACUGGGACUGAGACACGGCCCAGACUCCUACGGAAGGCAGCAG
RNAcentral lists this ribosomal RNA (254 nucleotides) under uncultured bacterium. RNAcentral describes it as "partial 16S ribosomal RNA". It matches the Rfam family "Bacterial small subunit ribosomal RNA", at positions 99 to 354 of the family's 1533-position model. The record is from RNAcentral.